Molecule: ribosomal RNA, 460 nt
Filed under: uncultured bacterium
Lineage: Bacteria
Description: partial 16S ribosomal RNA
Rfam family: Bacterial small subunit ribosomal RNA
Source: RNAcentral
CCUACGGGUGGCAGCAGUGAGGAAUAUUGGACAAUGGGCGCGAGCCUGAACCAGCCAAGUAGCGUGAAGGAUGACUGCCCUACGGGUUGUAAACUUCUUUUAUAAAGGAAUAAAGUGAGGCACGUGUGCCUUUUUGUAUGUACUUUAUGAAUAAGGAUCGGCUAACUCCGUGCCAGCAGCCGCGGUAAUACGGAGGAACCGAGCGUUAUCCGGAUUUAUUGGGUUGAAAGGGAGCGUAGAUGGGUUGUUAAGUCAGUUGUGAAAGUUGGGGGCUUAACCGUAAAAUUGCAAUUGAUACUGGCAGUCUUGAGUGCAGUUGAGGUAGGCGGAAUUCGUGGUGUAGCGGUGAAAUGCUUAGAUAUCACGAAGAACUCCGAUUGCGAAGGCAGCUUACUAAACUGCCACUGACAUUGAGGCUCGAAAGUGUGGGUAGCAAACAGGAUUAGAUACCCUAGUAGUC